Molecule: ribosomal RNA, 727 nt
Filed under: uncultured bacterium
Lineage: Bacteria
Description: bacterial SSU rRNA
Rfam family: Bacterial small subunit ribosomal RNA
Source: RNAcentral
ACGGGUGAGUAACGCGUAAUCAACCUGCCCUUCAGAGGGGGAUAACAACGGGAAACCGUUGCUAAUACCGCGUACGAUUCAUGAACGGCAUCGUUUAUGAAUGAAAGGUGGCCUCUAUGUAUAAGCUAUCGCUGAAGGAGGGGAUUGCGUCUGAUUAGCUAGUUGGAGGGGUAACGGCCCACCAAGGCAAUGAUCAGUAGCCGGUCUGAGAGGAUGAACGGCCACAUUGGGACUGACACACGGCCCAAACUCCUACGGGAGGCAACACUGGGGAAUCUUCCGCAAUGGACAAAAGUCUGACGGAGCAACGCCGCGUGAGUGAUGAAGGUCUUCGGAUUGUAAAGCUCUGUUAAUCGGGACGAAAGAGUUCUGCGUGAAUAAUGCAGAAAAGUGACGGUACCGGAAUAGAAAGCCACGGCUAACUACGUGCCAGCAGCCGCGGUAAUACGUAGGUGGCAAGCGUUGUCCGGAAUUAUUGGGCGUAAAGCGCGCGCAGGCGGCCUAUCCAGUCUGUCUUAGAAGUUCGGGGCUCAACCCCGUGAUGGGAUGGAAACUAGUAGGCUAGAGUAUCGGAGAGGAAAGCGGAAUUCCUAGUGUAGCGGUGAAAUGCGUAGAUAUUACGAAGAACACCAGUGGCGAUGGCGGCUUUCUGGACGAAAACUGACGCUGAGGCGCGAAAGCCAGGGGAGCGAACGGGAUUAGAUACCCCGGUAGUCCUGGACGAAAC